AGACCCGAAACCCGGUGAUCUAGCCAUGGGCAGGUUGAAGGUUGGGUAACACUAACUGGAGGACCGAACCGACUAAUGUUGAAAAAUUAGCGGAUGACCUGUGGCUGGGGGUGAAAGGCCAAUCAAACCGGGAGAUAGCUGGUUCUCCCCGAAAGCUAUUUAGGUAGCGCCUCGUGAAUUCAUCUCCGGGGGUAGAGCACUGUUUCGGCUAGGGGGCCAUCCCGGCUUACCAACCCGAUGCAAACUGCGAAUACCGGAGAAUGUUAUCACGGGAGACACACGGCGGGUGCUAACGUCCGUCGUGAAGAGGGAAACAACCCAGACCGCCAGCUAAGGUCCCAAAGUCAUGGUUAAGUGGGAAACGAUGUGGGAAGGCCCAGACAGCCAGGAUGUUGGCUUAGAAGCAGCCAUCAUUUAAAGAAAGCGUAAUAGCUCACUGGUCGAGUCGGCCUGCGCGGAAGAUGUAACGGGGCUAAACCAUGCACCGAAGCUGCGGCAGCGACGCUUAUGCGUUGUUGGGUAGGGGAGCGUUCUGUAAGCCUGCGAAGGUGGCCUGUGAGGGUUGCUGGAGGUAUCAGAAGUGCGAAUGCUGACAUAAGUAACGAUA
This 607-nucleotide ribosomal RNA is filed under the name Salmonella enterica. RNAcentral's name for it is "partial 23S ribosomal RNA". It matches the Rfam family "Bacterial large subunit ribosomal RNA", at positions 711 to 1314 of the family's 2925-position model. Lineage: Bacteria; Pseudomonadati; Pseudomonadota; Gammaproteobacteria; Enterobacterales; Enterobacteriaceae. RNAcentral also lists the same sequence under 1 other name. The record is from RNAcentral.